UGUGCUUCUGUGUGCUUAAUGCAGACAGCAUGGAGCCAGGAAAGGGAGGGGGUGCAUGACUGAGAAUGUUAUUUUACAUCACUGACCAGCCCCCUCCUAUUUUCAAACAGCUGGGGACUACCUGACCUGCAGCUUCCAGGAGAUCCCGUACCUUAGAUCCUGACCAUUAUCAUCUGAUGAUACAUCAUCUAUGUGGAUCUGGUCACAGUCCUGAGAAGUGUAUGGAAAAAAAAUACAGCAUUAGAACAAGACAGAAAGCCUUCAUUCAAGCUGAUGAACUCUUAUCUUUUGCUCUGGUUGAUUUUUCAACAGAAGAAAAAAGGGCUUGGUACAACAGGAUUCCAAAGUCAGAACAACUGCAACUAACCAGGGUAUAGUCAGUCUGUGCCACACAACCUGCCUCCAGGUGGGACCAGACCCCUGUACCUACAUGUGAAGGAGCCUGAGCUAAUGCAGACUUGAAACAGUACUGCAGGCUUGGAGAAAGCCUCUGCUGCCUCCUUGUGAAACACAAGCUGUUCCUGAGGAUGCAUGGAGAAGCGCCUUCUGUUAUUGCUUAUGCUCGCUCUGAAUGCUGUCGAGGUAUGCAUCCAUUCAACCGUGGGCAGAAAGCAGAGGGAGAUGUGAAGCUGCAGGCCACUCUGACUGCUACUAUAAAGGUUAUACUGAAGUGACCGUCUGGGGAAAACAUUAAGACCAAAUGUCUGAUGACUGU
Molecule: long non-coding RNA, 715 nt
Organism: Neopsephotus bourkii (Bourke's parrot)
Lineage: Eukaryota; Metazoa; Chordata; Aves; Psittaciformes; Psittacidae
Exons: 4
Source: RefSeq, a predicted model, not a curated record